AAGUCGGAGUCGCUAGUAAUCGCAGAUCAGCAACGCUGCGGUGAAUACGUUCCCGGGCCUUGUACACACCGCCCGUCACGUCAUGAAAGUUGGUAACACCCGAAAACCAUGGCCAACCUUUUUUGGAGGGAGUGGUUGAAGGUGGGAUUGGCGAUUGGGACGAAGUCGUAACAAGGUAAC
RNAcentral lists this ribosomal RNA (180 nucleotides) under uncultured bacterium. RNAcentral describes it as "partial 16S ribosomal RNA". It matches the Rfam family "Bacterial small subunit ribosomal RNA", at positions 1323 to 1500 of the family's 1533-position model. The record is from RNAcentral.